RNAcentral lists this ribosomal RNA (450 nucleotides) under uncultured soil bacterium. Its description in RNAcentral is "bacterial SSU rRNA". It matches the Rfam family "Bacterial small subunit ribosomal RNA", at positions 26 to 520 of the family's 1533-position model. The record is from RNAcentral.
AGAGCGAACGCUGGCGGCAGGCCUAACACAUGCAAGUCGAACGGACUCUUCGGAGUUAGUGGCGGACGGGUGAGUAACACGUGGGAACGUGCCUUUAGGUUCGGAAUAGCUCCUGGAAACGGGUGGUAAUACCGAAUGUGCCCUUCGGGGGAAAGAUUUAUCGCCUUUAGAGCGGCCCGCGUCUGAUUAGCUUGUUGGUGAGGUAAUGGCUCACCAAGGCUACGAUCAGUAGCUGGUCUGAGAGGAUGACCAGCCACAUUGGGACUGAGACACGGCCCAAACUCCUACGGGAGCAGCAGUGGGAAUCUUGCGCAAUGGGACGAAAGCCUGACGCAGCCAUGCCGCGUGUAUGAUGAAGGUCUUAGGAUUAGUAAAAUACUUUCACCGGUGAAGAUAAUGACUGUAGACCGAGAAGAAGCCCCGGAUAACGUUCGUGACCAGCAGCCGUAC